Lemur catta (Ring-tailed lemur) is the source of this 744-nucleotide long non-coding RNA. RefSeq lists it as uncharacterized. NCBI's taxonomy places the organism in Eukaryota, Metazoa, Chordata, Mammalia, Primates, Lemuridae. The record is from RefSeq and is a predicted model, not a curated record. The transcript is spliced from 4 exons.
CAUAUGAAGCCCAGGAUGAAAGAGGGACCUUCAGACUGUCGUGCCUUCUCCAGCAAAAGCAAUUUCACGGUGACCACGUGGUUCUCUUUGAGUGGAGAGGCUGCCACCGGGCUUUAAGCUGUAAACCCAUAUCAGGGUAAGAGCUGAGGCCCAGGGCUCCAGCACGCUCCUGGUGAGCUACAAACACAGCCACGGCCACCUAAGUGCCAGAAUCACCACGGCUGCCUACCUGCCCCUCAAGCACGACCCUCCUGUGCCCGUGUCGGCCUCCAUAGAGCUCAUCCUGGUGGAGGACAUGAGGGUGAAUCCAGAAGAGGUGACCAUCUACAACCACCCUGGCAUCCAGGUGGAGCUGCACAUCAGAGGAGGCUCGGGAUACUUCUUCCUCAACACCAGCACUGCAGAGGUAGUCAACGUGGCCCACCAGGAGGCAGGGGAGUCGCCUGAAACACUUAUGUCUACACAAAGUCAUGGAAACUAUACAACUACUGCUGAAGAAUUAUUGGGUUAAGGAGAAAAUUAAGAUGGAAAUCAAAACAGUCUUAGAACUAAACAAAAUGGGACACAACCUAUCAAAAUCUGUGGGACACAGCAAAAACAGUCCUAAGAGGAAAAUUUAUAGCCAUAAAUGCCUAUAUCCAGAAGAUGGAAAGAUCACAAUGUAAUGAAUUAUCUCAAAGAACUGGAGUAGGAUGAGCAAAGCAAUCCCAAACCCAGCAGAAGAAAAGAAAUAACCAAGAUCAG